Molecule: long non-coding RNA, 814 nt
Organism: Paramormyrops kingsleyae
Lineage: Eukaryota; Metazoa; Chordata; Actinopteri; Osteoglossiformes; Mormyridae
Source: RefSeq, a predicted model, not a curated record
CGUGUUUCCGUCCCUGUAGUGGGAGCUCCUCCUGGUGGAGAUCUGCAGCCAGAUGCUCUUGUAGCGUGGAGGUACCGGCGGGCAGCGGGGCAGGUUGGACCGAGGCCAGCUUUGUAAAUAGUUCGCGAGUGACGUUCGGCAAGGAUUUGCUGGAAGUUGGUGUCAUUCUCGGCAGCCAGAAGCGCAAUGUCACAGUCACUCAGAAUCCUCUGAUAACUGUUUGCAAAGAGUGCGGACUGAGUGGGCGUCAUCUUCCUCUUGAAGUCUGGUGUGAUUACAGCACUGAGAUGAAAAGGCACGGCCAUUCCUCCUCUUGGGGGAGCUCUGAAGCACUGCCAGUGAGAAGAAAUGUGGGAAGGAUGUGUGGUGCCUUUUGGUCCCAAGAUGUAUUUUUGCUGUUCGAAUAAGUUGGGCAGUAGAAGAUAAGCACAAGGGCCUCUCUUACCAGGGAAGGCAAUUAGUCAUGCAGCUACUCCAUGCAGAUUCUUAGUCAUUAUCUCCAUCCUAAAGAACUUCACAAAGGCCAUGCUUUAUAUAUAUAUAUAUAUAUACCAAAAGUUGUUUCUCGUUACUAUUUUUUUCUCGUAAUUUUUUUGUUGUCUUGGUCGCAGGAGUAAUGUGUCAUGACACACAGAGCAAUGCAUGCCCAGCACCGUCAGUGCAUCGUGGUUCUUCUCUCCAAGGGCUACUCCAAAUAGCUGUCGAAGCCAAACUCUGCUCUAAUGAGGUUCAUGACCGCCUGUAGAGAGGGAUGGACCUGGGUUGAAAGAGGCUGUUCUGCAGGAGACUGAGCCAAACUUCUUAGGGACUGUUC